UACGCUGAAACUUCGAAAAAUCAUAACUUCCUCAUACGAAGUCAGAUUUGGGCGUUCUUUUUAUCGAACUUCUCGGUUUAACGAAUACUACGACUUUCGUUUAGAUUACUAAGGCUAAAAAGUAGUUUAUCAAAAACUCACUUUUUACGACAUUCAGCACCGUGCCGGUUUUGUCGCGAAACUUCGACAGGUCAUAACUUCUUCGUUAUAACUCGGAUUUUGGUAUUCUUUAUAUCCCCGAAAUCCUUGUUUCGACCACUACAACUUUAUGUAAAGAUAUCGGGCUUAUCUCACACUUUAAUUUUGACGCUUAUUUUUAUUCUUAAUUAAUUAAGCCCUAAUAAUUAAGCAUAAAACACAUAAUUCACAUAAUAUUCACAUAAUUCCUUUUCAUUUCUUCAAAAUGAGUUACAAAGGUUAACCUAGACUAUCAACUCAAUAUAAAUGCCUAGGCUAGAAACACGAGUGUUACAAUUCUCUCCCCCUUAGGAUGAUUCCGUCCCCGGAAUCACAUAUCACCAAACAACUGCGGGUAGCGACUCAUCAUGUCACUCUCCGUUUCCCAAGUGAGAUUUGGUCCAUUCGUAUGUUUCCAGCGCACAAGCACUAAAUCGACCAUCUUGCGUCGUAACUUCAUAGUCUUACGGUCAACGAUUGCCUCAGGUUCUUCGAUCAACCUCUUGUUUUCAUCCAACCUUAACUCAGAAAUCGGAAUUAUGUCGGGCACAUCUCCUGUGAACUUUCUCAAAUAACACACAUGAAAGGUGUUAUGAAUACCCUCUAGUUCUUCCGGUAACUCUAGCUUGUAAGCUUGAUUCCCGAUUCUCUGAAGAACUUUAAAUGGUCCAAUAAACCUUGGACUCAACUUCCCUCUCUUACCAAAUCUUAUAAGUCCCUUCCACGGCGAGACUUUAAGUAAAACCGAAUCUCCAACAUCGAAGGAUAUCGGUUGUCUUUUCUUGUCAGCAUAACUCUUUUGUCGAUCUUGAGCAGCUAACAUCCUUUCCCUUAUCACUUUCAACUUUUCAGCAGUCUCAUGGACUAUUUCAGGUCCCAUAAACUGCUUUUCCCCAGCUUCCAGCCAACAUGAUGGCGUUCGACACUUCUCCCCAUACAAAGCGUGAUAAGGUGCCAUCUUAAUGCUUGAGUGGAAACUAUUAUUAUAGGAGAAUUCUACUAAAGGUAAGUGUUCAUCCCAGUUACCUUGGAAUUCUAGGGUACAUGCUCUCAGCAUAUCCUCCAAUGUUUGAAUCGUUCGCUCGCUCUGACCAUCGGUUUGCGGAUGGUAAGCUGUACUCAAACACAACUUGGUACCCAAUUCCUCUUGUAGACUCCUCCAAAACCUUGAGGUAAAACGGCUGUCACGAUCGGACACAAUCGUUAACGGAACACCGUGAAGCCUCACAAUUUCCUUCACGUAAGAAUUCGCAAGUUUAUCCAUAGACCAUUUCUCUUUGGCCGCUAUGAAAUGCGCACUCUUAGUGAAGCGAUCAACGACCACCCAAAUCAUGUCGUGACCGUUCCUUGUUCUGGGCAGUUUAGUCACAAAAUCCAUGGUGACGUCUUCCCAUUUACCCAUGGGUACGGGUAAAGGUUCUAAACUCCCAUACGGUUUCUGAUGUUGUGCCUUAACCCUAGCACAAGUUACACACUCGGCCACAUACUUAGCAACAUCGAGCUUCAUCGUCGGCCACCAAUAAUAGGGUUUUAGAUCCCUAUACAUUUUCGUACUGCCGGGAUGAAUUGAGUACAUGGUCUUGUGAGCUUCUUCCAUCAGAAGAUCUCUUAUUCCGCCCGUCUUAGGUACCCAAAUUCUAUCUUGAAAUACCUUCAACCCUUGGUUGUUUGUACCGAACACUAACGUUUUGCCCAAACGUUCUUCCUUUCGGUCAUUUUUCUCUAAAGCUUCCUCUUGAGCUUUCUUUAUACUUUCCACAAUUGUCGAGACAACUUCAAUUCUCAAUGCUCUUGGCCUUUUCUUUUCAAGGUUUACCUUCCGACUGAGAGCAUCGGCAACAACAUUUGCUUUACCAGGGUGGUAAAGUAUCUCACAGUCGUAGUCCUUGAGUAACUCUAGCCAGCGUCGUUGCCUCAUGUUCAAUUCCUUCUGAUUAAAGAGAUAUUGGAGACUCUUAUGAUCAGUGAAAAGUUUACACUUGGUGCCAUAAAGAUAAUGCCUCCAUAUCUUCAAGGCAAAUACUACCGCUGCCAACUCCAAAUCAUGAGUGGGGUAGUUCUUUUCAUGUUCCUUCAAUUGCCUCGAUGCAUACGCGAUCACUUUAUCCCUUUGGGUCAGAACACAACCUAACCCAACUCCGGAUGCAUCGCUAUAAACUGCAAAGUCAUCAACUCCUUCAGGCAAUGAAAGAAUCGGUGCUUCACACAAUCUCUUCUUCAACUUCUCAAAGGCUUCCUUAUGCUUCUCAUUCCAAGCAUAAGUGGCUCCUUUGUGGGUCAAAGCUGUUAAUGGAGUAGCAAUCGAAGAAAAGCCUUGGAUAAACCUUCGGUAAUAUCCAGCUAAUCCUAAAAAGCUUCGAAUCUCCGUAGGACUUUUUGGUUGUUCCCACUUCAUUACAGCUUCAAUCUUUGCUGGGUCAACCAUUAUUCCUUCUUGGUUAACCACAUGACCUAAAAAUUGGACUUCUUGAAUCCAAAAUUCACACUUGGAGAACUUUGCAUACAGCUUCUCCUUUUUCAGGACUUCUAGCACUUCACGCAGAUGCUUUUCAUGCUCCUGCUUGCUUUUCGAAUAAAUCAAGAUAUCAUCUAUGAAUACUAUCACGGAUUUAUCUAAGAAUGGUUUACAAACCCUAUUCAUCAAAUCCAUGAAAGCUGCUGGGGCAUUGGUUAGUCCGAACGACAUAACCAAAAAUUCAUAGUGUCCAUAUCUCGUUCUAAAAGCAGUCUUUUCGAUAUCCUGCUCUCUCACCUUUAGUUGAUGGUAUCCCGACCUAAGAUCGAUCUUCGAGAAAUAGCUCGAACCCUGCAACUGGUCGAACAAGUCAUCGAUCCUUGGCAACGGGUACUUGUUCUUUAUCGUCACUUUGUUCAGCUCUCUGUAAUCGAUGCACAUUCUCAUGCUUCCGUCUUUCUUCUUUACAAAUAACACAGGGGCUCCCCAGGGUGAUGAACUAGGUCGAAUGAAACCUUUGUCCAAUAACUCCUGAAGUUGUGUCAUAAGUUCUUUCAUUUCGGUUGGCGCUAAUCGAUAAGGUGCUUUCGCUAUCGGCGUCGUUCCUGGUAACAAGUCGAUACGAAAUUCUACUUGUCGAUCAGGGGGCAAUCCGGGAAGAUCUUCGGGAAAGACUUCCGGAUAAUCACACACCACCGGAAUAUUCUGCACCUCCUUCUUUUCCAUCUUGGCAUCGAUCACGAAUGCUAGAUAUGAUGUACAUCCCUUGGCCAAACACUUUCUGGCUUUCAUUAGGGAAAUGAUUCCAGAGUUUACUCUGCGUUUGUCUCCGUACACCAUAAACGACUCUCUCCCUGGUGGGUUUACUUUUACUAUCUUCUUUCUACAUAGUAUUUCUGCAUCGUUGGCGCUAAGCCAAUCCAUUCCUAAAACUAUGUCGAAUCCAUUUAACUCGAUAGGCAAUAAUUCCUCUUGGAACUUAUUCCCAUCCAAGUCAAUGAGGAUGUUUUUCAUACGAUGGCUAACAGGUACAAACUUGCCACUAGCAAUCUCGACUAUUAUAGCAUUAACUAGCAUAUCUACAGGCAAAGCUAGCUUUCUACCAAAUUCAUGCGAUAUAAAGGAGUAAUUGGCUCCAGAAUCAAACAAAAUUUGGGCAGGCAAUUCGUUUACGAGAAAGGUACCUGAAGCGACAUCGGCUUCUUCUUUCGCAGCUUCGAGGGUCAUCUGAAAGGCUCUCGCCUUCGGCUUUGGUGGUAGAUUGGGUUUUGCUGCGUCCUUCUUCUUCGGGCAGUCCCUCAAAAUAUGCCCUUCUUCAUUGCACCCAAAACAUACGUUCUUAUUGAAGGUGCAUUCAUUGGCAUAAUGCCCUGGCUUUCCACAUUUGUAACAAGUGACUUCCACGCUGCACUUCCCAGCAUGUUUCUUCCUACACUUGUCACACCACUUGGCUUCGCUUCCUCCUCCAAACUUUCUCGAACCAGUCUUCGAGAAUUUGUUCUUUUUAUUGGAACCUGAAGUUCCUUCAAACUUUCUCUUUUCGCCAACUUCAACCUUGCUGGCGGCUCUCCCUUUUAUCAUAUCUUCAACAGACUUGGCAGCCCAGAUAGCUGCCUCCAAAGUAAGUGCCUGACGUACUGGCACCGCAUACUCCCAUGGAAGUCCCUUUGCGUACCUGUCUAUUUUUGCCAACUCAUCUGGGACAAUACGCAAAGCAAACUCCAUUUUGUCUGUGAAGUUAUUUGUAUAUUCGUCAACGGUCAUACUCCCCUUCUGCAACGUUAGAAAUUGGUUUUCUAACUCAAGUACGUUUUGGGCCGAGCAGUACUUGCGCUUGAAGUGCACUAAGAACUCUGCCCAAGUUAAUUGCAGUGGCUCGUUAGGGCUUAGGGUUUUCCCCAAAGUGCUCCACCAACGGGCAGCACUACCCCUGAACUGACGUACUGCAAACGUAGUUUGUAACUUGCCUUGGCAAUCACAAGUCAUGAAAGCCAACUCCAUUUCCGAGAUCCAGUCCAUUACUCCGACAGGAUCUUCUUUUCCAUUGAAGGUCGAUGGCUUGCAAGUCAUAAAGUCCUUAUACUUGCACCCAUUUCUCUCCACUCUACCCUCGUGGUUAUUCCUCCCAACCACAAGCGGUUCACUAUGACCAACCGAUCUGCUAUUGUUCCCUUCUUCAGAUCGAUCGUCAUUUAGUUCACGUUGUUCAACAGGAACUGAAGGUUCAUCCCUGUCGUUCAGCAACAUUUGCCUCAAUUCCUCCCUCUGUUCAGCCAACAUGGCCUGAAUCAUAGUUCGUACUCCAGCCAUGGUGAUGGGUUCGGGUGCAGCUCCUACUAUAGGCACCUGUUCCACCACUGGAGGUUGAGGUUGUUGGUUUCUGUUUGCAUUUCCAGCUCCACUCCGAGUUCUUGCCAUUACAAUCUAUAUACCGAAUAAGGCGAAAUUUAGGUCUUUAUCCUUGUUAGACAUGUCAAUUCCCUUAUCACUCCGAAACGUUUACAUGUUAGUUCUAAUCUCGUAUUCAUACACUUAGAAUCCUACACACAUAAGGUUUCCAGAUCCGGUCGGCAACAGACCAUAGAUCCGAACAAAUAAUGGCACACAUGGCAAACACAUAGCAUUUAGCACAUAAGGGCAUUUUAGGCAUCUUCCCUAAAAUAAACUAGUGCUCGUGUCUAAAAUAUGGUAGACACUCAUCUCACAAUCAUCACUUAGCAUUCUAAGUUCAAGUCUAGAAAUUCUACAAUUUCUUAGUUCGCUUAAACUAAUGCUCUGAUACCAACUGUGACAUCCCCAUAUUUCUCGGCCAGAAAAGACCGAUUUAAUUUAUGCUUUUUAAAAUAAAAUCAGAGAAAUCUUUUUAUAAGAUAUUGCGGAAUUGGUCCCCAAACAAUAUAUGAUAAAAGUUUAUCAAAAUCCUUCAUUAAGAAGGUAUAUAUUUUCCAUAUAUAUAUCAAAACCUCGGGAUGUCAUGUUCCGAUACAGAUCAAAAGCAUAAACAAGACAUUAUAAGCCUUUCAACAGUUAUUUACAACUACUGGCCUAUAAUCCAAAAAUCUCUCGUCAUCCUCCGACUAUGCUCGGGGUCCACUACCUGUAAUCAUAAAACUGAGUGGGUCAGGCUUGGGAGCCUGGUGAGCAUAUAGGGUUUUCAACCCACAAUAAUAAUAUACUUAUUAAGUUCACCAAUCAACAAUAACCCUGAUUACCCAUUCCCGUUGUCCUCACUUUACGUCCCUAAACACCUAUCACAAGGGACCUAGCCUAAGGAUUAUCAUCGGGAUGGACACUACUGCUAAGGGGUUUCCUCAGCCAUACAUGUCCUUAAGGCAACCAUGAGGGGGAUGAAGUACGCCAAUGAACAUUUAAUUCAUCAACACCUACAAGUUGCGAACCUGCUAGUGUUCCACUGGACUAUCUAGAAAGUCCGUGGUCGUCAUCUAUACUUCGCUAGAUGACUACAACAACAACACAACAUCGACAUCGAGGCCUCUCACCAUUUUAACACACAUCAACUAUUUCAUCUACCCAUGUUCUACCCAACAUAUUUUGUAGAUAAAAAGCAUAUACAGUUUAAAACUUGUAUAAAACAUCAAUUCAACAGUCACCUCGAAUAAACAAUUAGCAUAUUUACACAUAACACGUAUUUCAAGGUAAAUACUUCAUAUCUAUGUGUAAAUUGAAAGUAACUACACACUCACUUAUUUUGGUGAAAAUCGGGCAGCAAUUCGUUUCCUAAAACGAUCGUUUCUAAUAAAACCGGGAGUUUUAUUGAGAAACCGGGCUCUGCAAAAGUCGGGCUUCGAAACCGAAAAGAUAAAUUUUCCGGGCUUCUCGGGCACUUCGUGGGGUAUUCCGGGCUUUACAAUUGAUACCGGGGCUUUGCGGGAUGUUAAGAUGAAGAAAAUAUGGAGAGAGGGGCUAAAAAUGGCUAAAUUCCAAAAGUAACCGGAAACCCUCGCAGGUACCCUUCUAUUUAUAGGGUCCGAAGUUUGAUCCAACGGCUGAGAAGUCUCCUGAUCCGACGGCUAAGAGGCUUCGCAGGGGGGGUCUCGCACAUGGCUCGCACGGCUCGCACAUGGCUCGCACAUGCGAGGGCUCGCUGUCGGCUUCUAAGUGGACCGCGGCUUGCUGGCGCACCUGCGAGGCUCGGAGCUAGGCUAUGCGAGGCUCGGACACACGCGGCAGCUGGGCGAAGCUUCGGCUGGGGAGCUGGCUGCUUCGGAUUGGGCCUCCUCCUCGGUCGAAUCAGAAGAGGAAACGUGGCUUGCAUGACUCAUCAGCCUUGGUGACUCAGCAACCUAAUGACUCAGCAGCCAGGUGACUCAGCAGGACACGUGUCACUUUCUAAGCGAGGGUGACGUGGCAAUUGUGACUAUGCGAAAUUACUCGGUUUUUGCGCCAAAACUUCUAAAAUCCAUAACAUUCGCAUACGAGCUCCGUUUUUGACGUUCUUUAUAUGCACGCGUAGCUAAAAUUACGAUCUACAACUUCCGUUUAGACUUCGUCGGCUAAUUUUGACUUUAAAUUUUAUAUUAUUAUUUUUAACAGACCGGGACAGGAAAUCCGUUAAAAAUUCAUAACUUCUUCAUCCGACGUCCGUUUUCGUCAGACUUCUUACCGUUGUGCUCCUAAUGACGAGACCUUCAAUUCUAGUUUAGGUUGUGUCGGCUAAAAAUCGCUCGAUCCAAAAUUCGAGUUUUUAGCUGUCUACUGCUAUGCUGAAACUUCAAAAAAUCAUAACUUCCUCAUACGAAGUCAGAUUUGGGCGUUCUUUUUAUCGAACUUCUCGGUUUAAUGAAUACUACGACUUUUGCUUAGAUUAAUAAGGCUAAAAAGUAGUUUAUCAAAAACUCAUUUUUCUACGACAUUCAGCACCGUGUCGGUUUUGUCGCGAAACUUCGACAGGUCAUAAUUUCUUCGUUAUAACUCGGAUUUUGGUAUUCUUUAUAUCCCCGGAAUCCUUGUUUCGACCACUACAACUUUAUGUAAAGAUAUCGGGCUUAUCUCACACUUUAAUUUUGACGCUUAUUUUUAUUUUUAAUUAAUUAAGCCCUAAUAAUUAAG
RNAcentral lists this long non-coding RNA (7702 nucleotides) under Lactuca sativa (garden lettuce). RNAcentral describes it as "long non-coding RNA (LSAT_LNC007509)". The record is from RNAcentral. Lineage: Eukaryota; Viridiplantae; Streptophyta; Magnoliopsida; Asterales; Asteraceae.